RNAcentral lists this ribosomal RNA (253 nucleotides) under uncultured bacterium. RNAcentral describes it as "partial 16S ribosomal RNA". It matches the Rfam family "Bacterial small subunit ribosomal RNA", at positions 524 to 776 of the family's 1533-position model. The record is from RNAcentral.
CACGUAGGGGACGAGCGUUGUCCGGAUUCAUUGGGCGUAAAGCGCACGUAGUCGGCUUGCCAAGUCGGGUGUGAAAUCCCCGGGCUCAACCUGGGAACUGCAUCCGAAACUGGCUUGCUAGAGUAUGGGAGAGGGAGGCGGAAUUUCUGGUGUAGCAGUGAAAUGCGUAGAUAUCAGAAGGAACAUCAGUGGCGAAGGCGGCCUCCUGGACCAAUACUGACGAUCAGGUGCGAAAGCGUGGGGAGCAAACAGG